GGGGAUUUAGCUCAGCGGCAUAAGCGCCUGCCUUGCAAGCAGGUAGUCGUGACUUUGAUCCCCA
Molecule: transfer RNA, 64 nt
Filed under: Cavia porcellus (domestic guinea pig)
Lineage: Eukaryota; Metazoa; Chordata; Mammalia; Rodentia; Caviidae
Rfam family: tRNA
About the family: Transfer RNA (tRNA) molecules are approximately 80 nucleotides in length. Their secondary structure includes four short double-helical elements and three loops (D, anti-codon, and T loops).
Source: Rfam by way of RNAcentral